Dermacentor albipictus is the source of this 992-nucleotide long non-coding RNA. RefSeq lists it as uncharacterized. The record is from RefSeq and is a predicted model, not a curated record. Lineage: Eukaryota; Metazoa; Arthropoda; Arachnida; Ixodida; Ixodidae.
CAGCAUCAAGCGCGCAGCAGAGGCUCGAGCUCGGGAACUGCUCGGUGCAUCCCAGAACCAGCGGUCGCUACGAACCCCAAUAAAUCUCCUUUAUGAGUGGUGCAGGUGCGCGGUAACGUUCCAUUCUACCAUCCUGGAACUCCGUUCUGGGACGCUACCCUCCGCCAUGACAGACGCCGACCAGCAGACUCAUCCAUCGUCACCCGUCCCUUGCGCUGGCACAGUUCGCCAGCGGGAGCCUCCUAUCUUCAGCGGAACCGACGACAACGACGUUGAAGAGUGGCUGUCGUCCUACGAACGGCCUCCCGGAAUUUCGCCCAUGCAUCACCCGUUCCCCUGAGUCCUGGCCAAAGGUUCCCGUGGAGUGUCAAAGGAGAUUUCACUGCAAUCCGGCAUAGCACCAAAGCACGAGAUGUGCCCCUGCGCACCAACCUGUGCUGAUAAUAUUGCUGAUGUACAAACGUGACUACAACCAUUUUACCGUGACAUCCAGCUGAUGUUUCGACAAAAGUCUGAACAUAAACCCUGGGUCUACCCCCGCCUAUUUUUGCAUAUGUUUCUUGUACAUGCAUGCUCAGUUGGUUGCCCUGACUUAUUUUACCAUAGCCUCCUCCUGUCAAGCUUACACUGUCAUGUAAUUGCUUGUGUUACUCAUGUGCAAUUAAUCUCAAUGGUCCACAGCCACAUAGCAUAAAGAAAAAACAUAACUCGAGAUAUAAAAGUUACCUUGUGGUCCUGGUUAACUGACUUUCUUUUUCCCGUGUAAGAAUGCAUAACUUGCCACUUUUGACAAUAAGCAAGGAAUACAGUAAGCUGCUGGCAUAAUGGCUCAUGUGAAAUAAUAUGACGUUACCCACCUAACUUCUCCGGUUAGUCUUACAUAAUCACAAGCCUGCGUGAUCUGUUCCCUCACCCUAAAGCCAUGUAGUUGUACACCCACGCCACCUUUCAUUUUGGGACAAAACUGUGUGUGUGUAUAUUAUGUAUAUAUA